Molecule: ribosomal RNA, 1499 nt
Filed under: Francisella noatunensis subsp. noatunensis
Lineage: Bacteria; Pseudomonadati; Pseudomonadota; Gammaproteobacteria; Thiotrichales; Francisellaceae
Description: bacterial SSU rRNA
Rfam family: Bacterial small subunit ribosomal RNA
Source: RNAcentral
UGACGCUGGCGGCAUGCUUAACACAUGCAAGUCGAACGGUAACAGGUCUUCGGAUGCUGACGAGUGGCGGACGGGUGAGUAACGCGUAGGAAUCUGCCCAUCUGUGGGGGAUACCAGUUGGAAACGACUGUUAAUACCGCAUAAUAUCUGCGGAUUAAAGGUGGCCUUUGUGCUGCCGCAGAUGGAUGAGCCUGCGUUGGAUUAGCUAGUUGGUGGGGUAAGGGCCUACCAAGGCUACGAUCCAUAGCUGAUUUGAGAGGAUGAUCAGCCACAUUGGGACUGAGACACGGCCCAAACUCCUACGGGAGGCAGCAGUGGGGAAUAUUGGACAAUGGGGGAAACCCUGAUCCAGCAAUGCCAUGUGUGUGAAGAAGGCUCUAGGGUUGUAAAGCACUUUAGUUGGGGAGGAAAGCCUAUAAGUUAAUAGCUUGUAGGAAGGACGUUACCCAAAGAAUAAGGACCGGCUAACUCCGUGCCAGCAGCCGCGGUAAUACGGGGGGUCCGAGCGUUAAUCGGAAUUACUGGGCGUAAAGGGUCUGUAGGUGGUUUAUUAAGUCAGAUGUGAAAGCCCAGGGCUCAACCUUGGAACUGCAUUUGAUACUGGCAAACUAGAGUAUGGUAGAGGAAUGGGGAAUUUCUGGUGUAGCGGUGAAAUGCGUAGAGAUCAGAAGGAACACCAAUGGCGAAGGCAACAUUCUGGAUCAAUACUGACACUGAGGGACGAAAGCGUGGGGAUCAAACAGGAUUAGAUACCCUGGUAGUCCACGCUGUAAACGAUGAGUACUAGCUGUUGGAUUCGGUGUAAAGGAUCUAGUGGCGCAGCUAACGCGUUAAGUACUCCGCCUGGGGACUACGGCCGCAAGGCUAAAACUCAAAGGAAUUGACGGGGACCCGCACAAGCGGUGGAGCAUGUGGUUUAAUUCGAUGCAACGCGAAGAACCUUACCUGGUCUUGACAUCCUGCGAACUUUCUAGAGAUAGAUUGGUGCCUUCGGGAACGCAGUGACAGGUGCUGCACGGCUGUCGUCAGCUCGUGUUGUGAAAUGUUGGGUUAAGUCCCGCAACGAGCGCAACCCCUAUUGAUAGUUACCAUCAUUAAGUUGGGUACUCUAUUGAGACUGCCGCUGACAAGGCGGAGGAAGGUGGGGACGACGUCAAGUCAUCAUGGCCCUUACGACCAGGGCUACACACGUGCUACAAUGGGUAUUACAGAGGGCUGCGAAGGUGCGAGCUGGAGCGAAACUCAGAAAGGUACUCUUAGUCCGGAUUGCAGUCUGCAACUCGACUGCAUGAAGUCGGAAUCGCUAGUAAUCGCAGGUCAGAAUACUGCGGUGAAUACGUUCCCGGGUCUUGUACACACCGCCCGUCACACCAUGGGAGUGGGUUGCUCCAGAAGUAGAUAGUUUAACGAAUGGGCGUUUACCACGGAGUGAUUCAUGACUGGGGUGAAGUCGUAACAAGGUAGCCGUAGGGGAACCUGCGGCUGGAUCACCUCCUUAA